This 253-nucleotide ribosomal RNA is filed under the name uncultured bacterium. RNAcentral describes it as "partial 16S ribosomal RNA". It matches the Rfam family "Bacterial small subunit ribosomal RNA", at positions 524 to 776 of the family's 1533-position model. The record is from RNAcentral.
UACGGAGGAUGCGAGCGUUAUCCGGAUUUAUUGGGUUUAAAGGGUGCGUAGGCGGACUUUUAAGUGAGAUGUGAAAUACUCGGGCUCAACUUGAGUGCUGCAUUUCAAACUGGAAGUCUAGAGUGCAGGAGAGGAGAAUGGAAUUCCUAGUGUAACGGUGAAAUGCGUAGAGAUUAGGAAGAACACCAGUGGCGAAGGCGAUUCUCUGGACUGUAACUGACGCUGAGGCUCGAAAGCGUGGGGAGCAAACAGG